This 279-nucleotide ribosomal RNA is filed under the name uncultured bacterium. Its description in RNAcentral is "partial 16S ribosomal RNA". It matches the Rfam family "Bacterial small subunit ribosomal RNA", at positions 506 to 784 of the family's 1533-position model. The record is from RNAcentral.
UGCCAGCCGCCGCGGUAAUACGGAGGGUGCAAGCGUUAAUCGGAAUUACUGGGCGUAAAGAGUACGUAGGCGGCUUUUCAAGUCGGAUGUGAAAGCCCUGAGCUUAACUCAGGAACUGCAUUCGAUACUGGAUCGCUAGAGUAUAUUAGAGGAUAGUGGAAUUUCAAGUGUAGCGGUGAAAUGCGUAGAUAUUACGCAGAACACCAAUUGCGAAGGCAGAUCUCUGGGACAUAACUGACGCUGAGGCACGAAAGCGUGGGGAGCGAACAGGAUUAGAUA